RNAcentral lists this unclassified non-coding RNA (243 nucleotides) under Glomeromycetes sp. RNAcentral describes it as "partial contains 5.8S ribosomal RNA and internal transcribed spacer 2". The stretch from base 1 to 71 matches the Rfam family "5.8S ribosomal RNA", at positions 84 to 154 of the family's 154-position model. The record is from RNAcentral. Lineage: Eukaryota; Fungi; Glomeromycota; Glomeromycetes.
GUGAAUCAUCGAAUUUUUGAACGCAAAUUGCGCUUCUUGGUAUCCCGGGAAGUAUGCCUGUUUGAUGGUCAGUAUUAACAAAAAAUCGGUUUGGUUGCACAUUGUCACUUUUCUGGUGUCUGGUCUAUCUUAACUUUUUUCGUUAAGGGGCUUAAAAUUGACCUUUUUUGCGCUUUUUUUGACGUACAUAAAUUUUUUUUAUUCGUCUAUUCUUAAUGCUAAAAUCUUAUUAGUUUCUUUCAC